RNAcentral lists this ribosomal RNA (101 nucleotides) under uncultured bacterium. RNAcentral's name for it is "partial 16S ribosomal RNA". The record is from RNAcentral.
CCUUCGGGUUGUAAAGCUCUUUUGUCAGGGAAGAAACGGCCUGUUCUAAUACGGUGGGCUAAUGACGGUACCUGAAGAAUAAGCACCGGCUAACUACGUGC